RNAcentral lists this ribosomal RNA (497 nucleotides) under uncultured bacterium. Its description in RNAcentral is "partial 16S ribosomal RNA". It matches the Rfam family "Bacterial small subunit ribosomal RNA", at positions 28 to 507 of the family's 1533-position model. The record is from RNAcentral.
GACGAACGCUGGCGGCGUGCCUAAUACAUGCAAGUAGAACGCUGAAGAGAGGAGCUUGCUCUUCUUGGAUGAGUUGCGAACGGGUGAGUAACGCGUAGGUAACCUGCCUUGUAGCGGGGGAUGACUAUUGGAAACGAUAGCUAAUACCGCAUAACAAUGGAUGACACAUGUCAUUUAUUUGAAAGGGGCAAUUGCUCCACUACAAGAUGGACCUGCGUUGUAUUAGCUAGUAGGUGAGGUAAUGGCUCACCUAGGCGACGAUACAUAGCCGACCUGAGAGGGUGAUCGGCCACACUGGGACUGAGACACGGCCCAGACUCCUACGGGAGGCAGCAGUAGGGAAUCUUCGGCAAUGGGGGCAACCCUGACCGAGCAACGCCGCGUGAGUGAAGAAGGUUUUCGGAUCGUAAAGCUCUGUUGUAAGUCAAGAACGGGUGUGAGAGUGGAAAGUUCACACUGUGACGGUAGCUUACCAGAAAGGGACGGCUAACUACGUG